UACCCUUGACAUGGAUGGAAUCCCGAAGAGAUUUGGGAGUGCUCGAAAGAGAACCAUCACACAGGUGCUGCAUGGCUGUCGUCAGCUCGUGUCGUGAGAUGUUGGGUUAAGUCCCGCAACGAGCGCAACCCUUGUCAUUAGUUGCUACGAAAGGGCACUCUAAUGAGACUGCCGGUGACAAACCGGAGGAAGGUGGGGAUGACGUCAAGUCCUCAUGGCCCUUAUGGGUAGGGCUUCACACGUCAUACAAUGGUACAUACAGAGGGCCGCCAACCCGCGAGGGGGAGCUAAUCCCAGAAAGUGUAUCGUAGUCCGGAUUGGAGUCUGCAACUCGACUCCAUGAAGUUGGAAUCGCUAGUAAUCGCGGAUCAGCAUGUCGCGGUGAAUACGUUCCCGGGUCUU
RNAcentral lists this ribosomal RNA (402 nucleotides) under uncultured Herbaspirillum sp. RNAcentral describes it as "bacterial SSU rRNA". It matches the Rfam family "Bacterial small subunit ribosomal RNA", at positions 976 to 1382 of the family's 1533-position model. Lineage: Bacteria; Pseudomonadati; Pseudomonadota; Betaproteobacteria; Burkholderiales; Oxalobacteraceae. The record is from RNAcentral.